UCCCAAGUGGCUCAGUGGUAAAGAAUCUGUCUGACAAUGCAGGAGACUCAGCUUUGAUUCCUGGCUUGGGAA
RNAcentral lists this transfer RNA (72 nucleotides) under Bos taurus (domestic cattle). It matches the Rfam family "tRNA". From Rfam's summary of the family: Transfer RNA (tRNA) molecules are approximately 80 nucleotides in length. Their secondary structure includes four short double-helical elements and three loops (D, anti-codon, and T loops). Lineage: Eukaryota; Metazoa; Chordata; Mammalia; Artiodactyla; Bovidae. The record is from Rfam by way of RNAcentral.